RNAcentral lists this ribosomal RNA (429 nucleotides) under Bacillota bacterium. Its description in RNAcentral is "Firmicutes bacterium partial 16S ribosomal RNA". It matches the Rfam family "Bacterial small subunit ribosomal RNA", at positions 355 to 776 of the family's 1533-position model. The record is from RNAcentral. Lineage: Bacteria; Bacillati; Bacillota.
UCGAGAAUCAUUCACAAUGGGCGAAAGCCUGAUGGUGUGACGCGGCGUGGAGGAUGAAGGUCUUCGGAUUGUAAACUCCUGUCAUGUGAGAGUAAGUCUCAGGGAGUAACUGCCCGUGGAAUUGAGAGUAUCACAAGAGGAAGAGGCGGCUAACUCUGUGCCAGCAGCCGCGGUAAUACAGAGGCCUCAAGCGUUGUUCGGAAUCACUGGGCGUAAAGGGUGCGUAGGCGGCGCGGAAAGUCAGGUGUGAAAUCCCGGAGCUCAACUCCGGAACUGCCUUUGAUACUCCCGCGAUUGAGAACUGGAGGGGAGAGCGGAAUUCACGGUGGAGCAGUGAAAUGCGUGGAUAUCGUGAGGAACACUAGUGGCGAAGGCGGAUCUCUGGACAGUAUCUGACGCUGAGGCACGAAGGGCAGGGGAGCGAACGGG